UUAAGUCUAUCACGAACUCGAUCUUUCGAUCUAGCGGCAUCCCCGGCAACUCCGUAGGAAAUACAUCCGGAAAUUCCCGAACCACCAACAACUCCUCGAGUGCCGGAACCACUCGGUCUGCUUCCACAACGGUCGCCAAAUAAGCUACGCAACCGCUGUUAACCAAUUUUCUUGCUCUCAUCGCAGAUACCGUCGCGGCGAAGCAUGAGCUCUUGCACGCUCGAUACGUGAACUCCUCCUGCCUUGGCUCUCGAAACGUUACCACCUUAUACCUGUAGUCAAUAGACGCGUAAUAUUUCGAAAGCCA
RNAcentral lists this long non-coding RNA (307 nucleotides) under Ananas comosus (pineapple). Its description in RNAcentral is "long non-coding RNA (ACOM_LNC038865)". Lineage: Eukaryota; Viridiplantae; Streptophyta; Magnoliopsida; Poales; Bromeliaceae. The record is from RNAcentral.